UGAUGACACUUGUCCAAAUUGGA
Molecule: non-coding RNA, 23 nt
Filed under: Arabidopsis thaliana (thale cress)
Lineage: Eukaryota; Viridiplantae; Streptophyta; Magnoliopsida; Brassicales; Brassicaceae
Source: RNAcentral